GGGAAUAUUGGUUAAUGGGCGAAAGCCUGACCCAGCAACGCCGCGUGCGCGAUGAAGGCCUUCGGGUUGUAAAGCGCUUUUAAGUGGGAUGAGGAAGGACAGUACCACUAGAAUAAGUCUCGGCUAACUACGUCCCAGCAGCCGCGGUAACACGUAGGAGACGAGCGUUAUCCGGAUUUACUGGGUGUAAAGCGCGUGCAGGCGGUUUGGAAAGUUGGAUGUGAAAGCUCCUGGCUUAACUGGGAGAGGUCGUUCAAAACUACCAGACCAUAGUCCAGCGGAGGGGAGUGGAAUUCCGAGUGUAGCGGUAAAAUGCAUAGCUAUUCGGAAGAACACCAGUGGCGAAGGCGGCUCCCUGGGCUGACACUGGCGCCCAGACGCGAAAGCUAGGGUA
Molecule: ribosomal RNA, 394 nt
Filed under: uncultured bacterium
Lineage: Bacteria
Description: bacterial SSU rRNA
Rfam family: Bacterial small subunit ribosomal RNA
Source: RNAcentral